CAAUAGCGUAUAUUAAAGUUGUUGCGGUAAAAAAGCUCGUAGUUGGAUUUCUACCGAAGAUGGCCGGUCGGGUCUUCGACCUUGUAUCUGGUUUUGUCUUUGGUAUCCUCAUAGGGAACGUUUCUGCGCUUUAUUGCGUGGUGCGGUAUCUAUGACUUUUACUUUGAGGAAAUUAGAGUGUUCACGGCAGGCAAACGCCUUGAAUAUAUUAGCAUGGAAUAAUAACAUAGGAUCUUCGUCCUAUUUUGUUGGUUUCUAGGGCUAAGAUAAUGAUUAAUAGGGAUAAUUGGGGGCAUCUGUAUCAACGCGUCAGAGGUGGAAUUCUUGGAUUGCGUUGCGACAAACUACUGCGAAAGCAUUUGCCAAGGAUGUUUUCAUUGA
Molecule: ribosomal RNA, 381 nt
Filed under: uncultured eukaryote
Lineage: Eukaryota
Description: partial 18S ribosomal RNA
Rfam family: Eukaryotic small subunit ribosomal RNA
Source: RNAcentral